This 198-nucleotide ribosomal RNA is filed under the name uncultured bacterium. RNAcentral describes it as "partial 16S ribosomal RNA". It matches the Rfam family "Bacterial small subunit ribosomal RNA", at positions 1303 to 1500 of the family's 1533-position model. The record is from RNAcentral.
GGCUGAAACUCGCCUAUAUGAAGUCGGAAUUGCUAGUAAUCGCGGAUCAGCAUGCCGCGGUGAAUACGUUCCCGGGCCUUGUACACACCGCCCGUCACACCAUGAGAGUCGAUAACACCCGAAGCCUGUAGUCUAACCAUAUGGGGGACGCAGUCGAAGGUGGGAUUGAUAAUUAGGGUGAAGUCGUAACAAGGUAAC